UGAGUACACGUGGGAACCUGCCUUUCGGUUCGGGAUAACGUCUGGAAACGGACGCUAACACCGGAUACGUCCUUCGGGAGAAAGUUACGCCGAGAGAGGGGCCCGCGUCCGAUUAGGUAGUUGGUGGGGUAAUGGCCCACCAAGCCGACGAUCGGUAGCUGGUCUGAGAGGAUGAUCAGCCACACUGGGACUGAGACACCGCCCAGACUCCUACGGGAGGCAGCAGUGGGGAAUA
RNAcentral lists this ribosomal RNA (235 nucleotides) under uncultured Azospirillum sp. RNAcentral's name for it is "partial 16S ribosomal RNA". It matches the Rfam family "Bacterial small subunit ribosomal RNA", at positions 107 to 363 of the family's 1533-position model. Lineage: Bacteria; Pseudomonadati; Pseudomonadota; Alphaproteobacteria; Rhodospirillales; Azospirillaceae. The record is from RNAcentral.